GAUGAAGAACGCAGCGAAAUGCGAUAAGUAAUGUGAAUUGCAGAAUUCAGUGAAUCAUCGAAUCUUUGAACGCACAUUGCGCCCGCCAGUAUUCUGGCGGGCAUGCCUGUUCGAGCGUCAUUUCAACCAUCAAGCCCCCCGGCUUGUGUUGGGGACCUGCGGCUGCCGCAGGCCCUGAAAAGCAGUGGCGGGCUCGCUGUCACACCGAGCGUAGUAGCAUACAUCUCGCUCUGGGCGUGCUGCGGGUUCCGGCCGUUAAACCACCUUCAUAACCCAAGGUUGACCUCGGAUCAGGUAGGAAGACCCGCUGAACUUAAGCAUAUCAUAAGCGGAGGA
Molecule: unclassified non-coding RNA, 336 nt
Filed under: soil metagenome
Description: partial contains 5.8S ribosomal RNA, internal transcribed spacer 2, and large subunit ribosomal RNA
Rfam family: 5.8S ribosomal RNA (bases 1-120)
Source: RNAcentral